Long non-coding RNA from Felis catus (domestic cat), 1006 nucleotides. RefSeq lists it as uncharacterized. The record is from RefSeq and is a predicted model, not a curated record. Lineage: Eukaryota; Metazoa; Chordata; Mammalia; Carnivora; Felidae. The transcript has 3 exons.
UUCCCCCGCUCCCUGCGCGCGCCGCUCCCUUGGGUGGAUUCUGGCGCUUCUUCCUCCCAGCGAACACUUUUCCUGAGGCGGCGCAUUUACUCCGGGAACAACCUGAAGGGGUCAGCACCACCCCUGUUCUGCAGCUCCAGCCUCUCAUCUAGUCUGAAUGGAUUUGCCUAUUCGAGAUAGUUCAUGUACAUGGAAUCAUACACUAUUUGUCCCUCUGCGUCUGGCUUAUUUCACUCAGCAUAACGUUUUCAAGAUCUUCCUGUUCUUUGUAACCAUGGCAGAGAAGAGAGGAUCAGGCCGUGCACCCACAAGGGGGAGACUGUAUGAGGACACAGGGAGAAGAUGGCCACCUACCAGCAGAGGAGAGAGGCCUCAGAGACAUACUCUGCCAAUACCUUGCUGUCAGACUUGCAGCCUCCAGCUCUGUGACAGGAUGCAUUUCCGUCGUUUCAGCCACCCAGUCUGUGGCGCUUUGUUGUGACAGCCCCAGCCGCCCUGGGUCUUCUGAUUCUGGAACAUCUCAUUCUUCCCGGUCAGUAACCAAUGCUGCCGCGAACCAUUCUUGUGCCUGUGUUUGACACACUGGUGGAGGGACCGCCAGAACAUUUGUUCUGUCCUGGCUUCUGGUGGAUUUGCUGUUUCGCUCCCAAGGGAGCACAUACAGAAUUUUCCACGUACCUGAAGGUGAAGACCAGAAGCUCCAGGAUUCGUCUGUGCGGGGGCAUUCCCAGCUGUGAAGAGCUGGGACUUCUCUUUCCACCCUGACCUCUCCCUGCACUUCCAUCCCACCCACGGGGCCGCUGACUCCAUCUGCCUGGCAGGGUCACCACCACGCUGCGGGCCGCAUCUGACCUGCCCGCAGCCCACAGCCUGUCUUUCCUCAAGCAGCUCCCUGCUGUCACUGAUCUAGCUGGGCAGAAGUCCGGGUGAGCAGGUCGUGGGGCCCAAGCUCACUGCGAUUCUCAUCUUCUUUCCAGCUCUCUCUGCUUUGUAUAUACACAUAAUA